This 453-nucleotide ribosomal RNA is filed under the name uncultured bacterium. RNAcentral's name for it is "bacterial SSU rRNA". It matches the Rfam family "Bacterial small subunit ribosomal RNA", at positions 21 to 518 of the family's 1533-position model. The record is from RNAcentral.
GGCUCAGACGAACGCUGGCGGCAGGCUUAACACAUGCAAGUCGAGCGAUCGCAGCAAUGCGGGAGCGGCAGACGGGUGAGUAACGCGUGGGAACGUACCCUCCGGUUCGGAAUAACUCAGGGAAACUUGAGCUAAUACCGGAUACGGCUUAGCGGCGAAAGAUUUAUCGCCGGAGGAUCGGCCCGCGUUCGAUUAGCUAGUUGGUGAGGUAACGGCUCACCAAGGCGACGAUCGAUAGCUGGUCUGAGAGGAUGAUCAGCCACAUUGGGACUGAGACACGGCCCAAACUCCUACGGGAGGCAGCAGUGGGGAAUAUUGGACAAUGGGCGCAAGCCUGAUCCCAGCCAUGCCGCGUGAGUGAUGACGGCCUUAGGGUUGUAAAGCUCUUUCGCUAGGGACGAUAAUGACGGUACCUAGAUAAGAAGCCCCGGCUAACUUCGUGCCAGCCGCAGC